GGUCGUGUUUAUUUUAUUAGUAAACAGUGAUUGACAAUUAACAGUAUUUUUAUUAACAAAACUGGAUAGUGGAAACUGAAUAGUUGUUGUCUUAAUUUUUUUUAUUAGUUACACUAUUUGCUAUUGUACGGAAUGCUGCUGUUGUAGAGAGCCAUGCUACAUAAAUUCCUACUAAUUGGUCUUAGGCCUUCAAAGAUUUGCGUAGAUUGAUAAAAUGAAAGCAUAAUGAAGUUUAUUUAAGUAUUACUAAGUAUCCUCAAAUGGAUGGUGUUGGUGACGCAGUUCUACCUACACUUCGUUUUCGUUUGUCUUCUUCACGUGAAAACAUUUUGUACUUUAUUAAGAUUGGCCAACAAUUGAGAGAUUGGAACUGGUAUCCUUUGCUUACUGAAAAGAUAAGUUGUAUCCUGUGGUGUUUUAGCUGUUAACUUUUCAUCCUGGAUGCUCUUGUAGUUAAUUAAGACGUUAGAAGAACUCCAGAUGCCAUUAAAUUGUGGAGCAUUGAUUGUGUCGGUUUUCAUUGACUCCAAAAAGUGUGUUCCUAUCUAUGGUCAUAAAGAGAGCAUGAAUGUGCCUUUUUCCUUUGGGAAUGGAGACAAUGUGCUGAAGGAGGGUUUUAUGACAAUAAACUGAUUGCCCCACAAAUGAGAAAGAAUUGCAGUUAAUUUUGAU
Agrilus planipennis (emerald ash borer) is the source of this 672-nucleotide long non-coding RNA. RefSeq lists it as uncharacterized. The transcript is spliced from 6 exons. The record is from RefSeq and is a predicted model, not a curated record. NCBI's taxonomy places the organism in Eukaryota, Metazoa, Arthropoda, Insecta, Coleoptera, Buprestidae.